UGUUUAUAGAAGCUUGAUUCAUAAUUGCCAAAGAACUGGAAACAACCCAAAUGGUCUCCAACAGAGGACUGGAAGAGAGAAGAUAAGGAAAAGCCGUCAUUCUCUGUCAUCAGGAGGAGGAAGACACAUAGGGGUCCUCACUGAAACUCUACACAACUCCCAGCAACUUCUAGCGUUCAAGAUGCCAGUGUGAGUAAGGGGCCCUGGCACGUCAAGUUCAUCAAGAUCAAGUUCCAUCUGUUGAAACAUCAUGCAAAUUCAGACUAUGACUCCAGAGCCAGUUGCCUUACCUGACAAGUACUGAACCUGGAAGCGAUACUGUUCAUGUGAUCUACAAUCAGGCAUUCAAAAAGGAUUAAGGAAAGGGGAGGACAGCUGAGACUAGAAGUCGUCUUAAAAAGUUUAAAUCACUGCCAGAAUGUGCUUCUUAAAUGAAUUUCUGCUGACUCUGCUUUUUCUUCCAAGAAAAUAAUACUGCUGUGCCCAGUACCUUUCAUGGAACAUCUGACUGAAAAAUUGGCAGAAUACACGUUUCUCAUUUAGGCAGAGAAUCAUUUUAUUUUAGAG
Molecule: non-coding RNA, 567 nt
Organism: Vicugna pacos (alpaca)
Lineage: Eukaryota; Metazoa; Chordata; Mammalia; Artiodactyla; Camelidae
Source: RefSeq, a predicted model, not a curated record